UACGAAGGGGGCUAGCGUUACUCGGAAUGACUGGGCGUAAAGGGCGCGUAGGCGGUUUGCUUAGUUAGGCGUGAAAUUCCUGGGCUCAACCUGGGGGCUGCGCUUAAUACAGGCAGACUGGAGUGUGAAAGAGGGUCGUGGAAUUUCCAGUGUAGAGGUGAAAUUCGUAGAUAUUGGAAAGAACACCGGUGGCGAAGGCGGCGACCUGGUUCAUUACUGACGCUGAGGCGCGAAAGCGUGGGGAGCAAACAGG
RNAcentral lists this ribosomal RNA (253 nucleotides) under uncultured bacterium. RNAcentral describes it as "partial 16S ribosomal RNA". It matches the Rfam family "Bacterial small subunit ribosomal RNA", at positions 524 to 776 of the family's 1533-position model. The record is from RNAcentral.